GCUCUACUGGUAAUAUAGUUAAUGCUAUAAUUAAACGGUCUAGUACGGAAUUGCAUGGCUGUCGUCAGUUCGUGCUGUGAAGUUUAGGAUUAAGUUCUUUUUAACGAAUGUAACCCUAUAAGUAAGUUUUUAAAUAUUAUUAAAUAAAUAUAAUAAUUAUUCUUAUUUAAUCUAUAAUUAAAUAUAUUAAAAUCUUUUUUGUACAUUUAAAUAUAGGGGUUUUAGGCUGAAGUCAAGUCCCUAUGGUCUUUAUACGUUGGGCUACACACGUGUUACAAGGGUAAAAACAAAGAGACGCAAUUGAGUAAUCAAGAGCAAAACUCGAAAAAUUACCUUAGUUCAGAUUGUUUCAUGAAAUUCUGAAACAUGAAGAUGAAAUCGUUAGUAAUUGUAAAUUAUUAUGUUACAGUGAAAUAAUAGUCAAAUUUUGCACACACCGCCCAUCACGCUCGGAAAGUCGAUAUUAGUGGAAGAUUUGAAAACCUCUACAUAAAAUUGAAUUAAUUUACUAUUCGAUUGUAUAUUUGUUAUUUUUUAACGUUGUAGAUGCAAAGUAGUAUCCAAUCUAGUAUUGGUAAUUUGAGUGAAGUUGACACAAGGUAC
This 603-nucleotide ribosomal RNA is filed under the name Tetrahymena tropicalis. RNAcentral's name for it is "SSU rRNA". It matches the Rfam family "Bacterial small subunit ribosomal RNA", at positions 984 to 1499 of the family's 1533-position model. The record is from RNAcentral. Lineage: Eukaryota; Ciliophora; Oligohymenophorea; Hymenostomatida; Tetrahymenidae.